CAAGCAGUCACCUCUGCGUUAACAGUAAAUUGUCUGUAUUUCGCCUCUUAUAUCAUUAAUAAUUUAAUAAUAAACCCAUGAUUAAACUUUAAAAAAAUAUUAAUGUAUUCAGAAAAGUUUAAUUAUUUAAUACUAAAUGAUUUAUGGUAAUGGUAUUAUUAAAGCAAAAACUACAGCACUUAAACAAAUGAUUCCCAUUUACGCGCGUGAAUAAGAACGAAUUUAAAAAAUUUAUUUCUCGAAAACGGUGUAGCGAUUUGAAAUUUUAAUAGUAAUCCUUUUUUUUAUAAUUCUUUCGUUGAAAAGAAUUUUAAAAUUUUGGUAUUAUUUUGAAAAUUGGUAUCGAACCUCUUCAAUAUUAAGGUGCCUAUUCUCGACUUUUGAUUCUCCAUUUCAAUAACAUAAGAAAAAAAUUUUUCAAAUUUGGAAUUUUAUAUCUUGACAAUGGAUUAUUGUACAAAUUAGUUUAGCAUAUGUUUUUGUAAGGAAUUGAACGCUCUGUAAAAAAAAAUCUCUAUUCAUUUUUUGAUAAAUCUAUUUGUUCAAAAGUUAUUGGAGCUCAAAGUCAAGUUAUACUAAAUUUUGAGAUCUUUUUACUUUUCCGGCGAAACUAUGAGAUUUAUCAUGAAACUUAAUAAAAACUUUUUUGUAGACAAUUUUACUAUCUACAAAUUAUUUCGCGUAAAGUUUUUUCAAAUUCUGCAUUGUUUUCUAGUUAUUUUCAUUUCAAUGUCGAGCUCUUAAGAUCAAUCAGAACGCUAUUUUUUUAAGAGCUUGACAUUAAUAUGAAAAUAACUAGAAAACAAUGCGAAAUUUGAAAAAACUCCACUGGAAAUAAUUUGUAGGGAUUAAAAUUGUCUACAAACAAUAUUUCAUGACGUUUUGUGAUAAAUCUGAUAGCUUCACCGAAAAAAUAAAAAGAUCUCGAAACGUAUUACAACUUGACUUUAAUCUCCAAUAACUUUUGAACAUAUGGGUAUAUCAAAAAAUGAUAAGAUACAUUUUCGCGGAGUGUUCCCUAUAAAAAUAAUUCCUGAACUUAUCUGUACAAUGAGCAAUUGCCAAGAUACAAAAUUCCCAAAUUAAAAUUUUUUUUUUCCCUUGUUAUUUAAAUAAGAAAUCAAAAAUCACGAAAAGGCACCUCUUAAUAUUAAUAUGAAGAGCUCAAACUUAACCAGAUUUUUUUUUAUCAUCUUUUGGAUAGCUUGCUUUCUUAUCAUCUUGACAAUUGAUUUUAUUAACAUCAAAAUCAUUUCGAAAAUGAUAAGGAAGCAAAAUAUAAUUUCAAUUCUUUUUUUUGUGUAUAUAGAUAUACAGUUUACAUGGAGUGACCGCUUCUCAAUUCUUUUCAAUCAGUAUUUUUAACCAGGGUGGUACUACACAGUAGUGCUCAAAAUUAAUACAAAAUAGCAACACUAUAUAACUAUUCUUUACGAGCAAUUUUUACCUGGUUAUAACAGUUAUAAAAAAAUAUUCUUCGCUAUUUAAGAUAUAAUAGUAAUAAUGACUACGUUUUAUAGUUAGCGUCAACAAUUAAAAUAAUAUUAGUAACUACUUUGGCUUAGUUAAUUUUGAGUAUUUGAUAUAACUUGGAAAAAAAAGUUACUGUAACGGAACCUUGAGCAGCACUGACAAUAAUAAUUUUGUAGUUAGCUUUAAUAGAUUAAAGUAGUGUUAGUAACUAUUUCAGCUCAACGGAAAUGAAUUAGUAGAUAUAUUGAUCAUAAUUAACUUAUCAAAACUUAAAUUUUAGUAGUGGAGAAAAAUUGUGUUUAAGUAGUUUGCUGUAUUAAAUUAGAAUAGUAUAGCAGUAACCGUUUUAAUCUAGUUGAUGAUAAGUAGUUAAUAUAACUAUGAAAAAUUAGUUUUUAUAACGUAAUUCUUCCCAGUAAUUACAAUAAUUUAUUUAUAUACUGAUGGAAAGAUUUUUUAGUAUUUAAUAAGCCUUAUCAACUGUUAAUAAAUUAUUUUUUAACACGAGAUGAUUUAAUAAAUAUUCAUUACCAGUUAACAAAUACUUGUUAAUAGUUAAUAAAUCAUUUAUUAAGAUAGUUGAACAAAAAGUGAGCAUGAAAGCUUUACUUCGACACUUUUUAUAACUUCAUAACUUCAAUAAUUAGUAGAAUUUAAUUAGAUGAGAUAAAUUUAUAGCUAUUUCAAAGAACAAACAGAGAAAAUAAAAUGAAUCAUAAAAAAAUAGUUGUAAUAAAUUACAGAAUUUUUUUUUGCGGUGAAAAUAAUUAGGUUUUUUAAACAACAAAUAUGCAAAAAAUAUAACAUGUAUGAGUAUUUGAAUCAGUUAUAUCAUGCUCUACAGAAAAGUUUCAGAUGUGCAUGAAGACUUGAAUCUUAUUCGUUUGAUUGUACUGACUCAUCAACAUUGGAUAUAGUUCACCCAGACCCCAUGAAUUUAUCAACACAUCCAUUUAAAUCAAUUUUUAAAAAACUUUUAGGGCCACUUUAAACUUUUUUUAUUUAAAACUCGACUCAAAAAUAUGUUCAGUACUUACCCUGAUUAGAAAAUAUAAUUUGUGACGAUUAAAAGUUCAAUCAUCAUUAAUCGGCUUUAAAUUGUCAUGGUUUUCACAUUUAAUUGUCUCUAAUCGUCAAAAAAACAAAUUAUUAUUUUACGAUUAAAAACAAUUAAUGACCAUUAAAAUUUCUAAUCAUCAUGAAUCGUUUUCAUUCUUUAUGCGUGGCCGUAAAUUUUAUUAUUAUUUUAAGAUUAAAGACGAUUCAUGACGAUUAAAAAUUUCAAAUCGUCUUCAAUCUUCAUGUGGGAACAGACAUUGUAAUAUUAUUUUACGAUUAAAGACGAUUCAUGACAGUUUAAAGUUUUUAGUCGUUUAAAGUAAAAUAAUAUUACAGUUUCUGGUUCCACAUGAAGAUAAAAAACGAUUUAUGACGGUUUGAAACGACUAAAAAUUUCAAUCGUUUUUAAUCCUUUUCAAUCAUCAAUUGACGAUUCGAGUAUUUUCUAGUUAGGGCAGUAUCGUAUCUUUAUUAAGAAGGGUUAUAGCGUUAUUGAUUUAUGAACGAUCUUCACGGCGUACUGUCAAAAAAGACACAUUCACUCUAAAAAUAAUUUAUUAACUGUUAAUAAAUAUUUGUUAACUAUUUAUAAAUAAUAUUUAUUUUUAUUCUAUAAAUAUAAUAUUAAAUGUUGAAAAAUAUUUAUUUAUUACUUAAGAGUUAAAAAAAUUUUUCAACUUCUCUAUUUUGAACCUAUAACUAGUUUCAAAUAUUAACCAGCAAUUUAUUAUUAUAUUUUGUAUUAAUUUGAUUUUUUUACUACAUACGUGUUUUUAUUAAAAAUAACCUUAUUUGUUAUUUUUAACUAUGGUUAGUAACAACUAUGUAUGCUAAUAUUUUAUUUUAUUGAAAUUAAAUUAGAUGGGAAAAAAUUCCAAUUAACAACCAGAAUGGAAAAUAAAUUUUUCAAAAAAAAUUUCGAAGUUUCUUGAAAUUGGUGAAAAUUAACAUGAAAUAAAAAUUAAGAAAAUGAAAUCAAAACCUAAUUUAUCAGCUGUAACCUUCUACUUACAGAAUCCAGUCAAGUCAUGUUAGUAGAAACACAAAAAAAAAAACAAACAAUUUUUGAAAUUAUACCCGGGAAUCUGGAUGGGAACAUAGGGAAUUUC
Molecule: long non-coding RNA, 3641 nt
Organism: Microplitis demolitor
Lineage: Eukaryota; Metazoa; Arthropoda; Insecta; Hymenoptera; Braconidae
Exons: 4
Source: RefSeq, a predicted model, not a curated record